Molecule: transfer RNA, 88 nt
Filed under: Rickettsiales bacterium
Lineage: Bacteria; Pseudomonadati; Pseudomonadota; Alphaproteobacteria; Rickettsiales
Description: tRNA-Ser
Rfam family: tRNA
About the family: Transfer RNA (tRNA) molecules are approximately 80 nucleotides in length. Their secondary structure includes four short double-helical elements and three loops (D, anti-codon, and T loops).
Source: RNAcentral
GGAGGGAUGGCCGAGCGGUUUAAGGCGCACGCCUGGAAAGCGUGUUGACAGCAAUGUCUCCGGGGUUCGAAUCCCCGUCCCUCCGCCA